GGGGAUAACACUUAGAAAUAGGUGCUAAUACCGCAUAACAGUAGGAGACGCAUGUCUUUUACUUGAAAACUCCGGUGGUGUAAGAUGGACCCGCGUCUGAUUAGCUUGUUGGCGGGGUAACGGCUCACCAAGGCAACGAUCAGUAGCCGGCCUGAGAGGGUGAACGGCCACAUUGGGACUGAGACACGGCCCAAACUCCUACGGGAGGCAGCAGUGGGGAAUAUUGGACAAUGGGGGGAACCCUGAUCCAGCGACGCCGCGUGAGUGAAGAAGUAUUUCGGUAUGUAAAGCUCUAUCAGCAGGGAAGAAAGAAAUGACGGUACCUGACUAAGAAGCCCCGGCUAACUACGUGCCAGCAGCCGCGGUAAUACGUAGGGGGCAAGCGUUAUCCGGAUUUACUGGGUGUAAAGGGAGCGUAGACGGCGAUGCAAGUCUGAAGUGAAAGGCGGGGGCCCAACCCCCGGACUGCUUUGGAAACUGUAUGGCUGGAGUGCAGGAGAGGUAAGUGGAAUUCCUAGUGUAGCGGUGAAAUGCGUAGAUAUUAGGAGGAACACCAGUGGCGAAGGCGGCUUACUGGACUGUAACUGACGUUGAGGCUCGAAAGCGUGGGGAGCAAACAGGAUUAGAUACCCUGGUAGUCCACGCCGUAAACG
RNAcentral lists this ribosomal RNA (653 nucleotides) under uncultured bacterium. RNAcentral's name for it is "bacterial SSU rRNA". It matches the Rfam family "Bacterial small subunit ribosomal RNA", at positions 139 to 808 of the family's 1533-position model. The record is from RNAcentral.